AGUGAGAGUCAGUAUCAGAGAGGAGUGGAGAGGUAGAGCAGUGGAGGAGUGAGAGUCAGUAUCAGAGAGGAGUGGAGAGGUAGGAGUGAGAGUCAGUAUCAGAGAGGAGUGGAGAGGUAGGAGUGAGAGUCAGUAUCAGAGAGGAGUGGAGAGGUAGGAGUGAGAGUCAGUAUCAGAGAGGAGUGGAGAGGAGUGAGUCAGUAUCAGAGAGGAGUGGAGAGGUAGAGCAGUGAAGGAGUGGAGAGAUAGGAAGGAGAGUCAGUAUCAGAGAGGAGUGGAGGGGCAGCAAAGGAGUGGAAAAAUAGAAGUAUGGCAGUGAAGGAGUAGAGAGUUAGAAGCAAAGGAAUUGAGAGAUACACUCUUAGAAAAAGGGUUCCUAAAGGGUUCUUCAGGUGUCCCCAUAGAAAAACACAUUUUGGUUCCAGGUAGAACCAAAACUCCUCUGUGGAAAGGGUUCUACCUGGAACCAAAACUAGUUCUUCAAAGGGUAGGGGACAGCCAAAGAACCCUUUUUAGGUUCUAGAUAGCACCUUUUCUCUAAGGGUGUAGAGCAGUGAAGGAGUGGAGAGGGAGUGAGAGUCAGUUUCAGAGGGGAGAGGUAGAGGAGCGCAGGAGUGGAGAGGUAGAUCACUGGUCAGUGUGGGUCAGUAAUAGCCCCGUGGUUAGUGGUGAUGAGAGGUGUAGUGGAGCGGUAGAGCAGCGUAGUAGUGGAGCGGUAGAGCAGCGUAGUAGUGGAGCGGUAGAGCAGCGUAGUAGUGGAGCGGUAGAGCAGCGUAGUAGUGGAGCGGUAGAGCAGCGUAGUAGUGGAGCGGUAGAGCAGCGUAGUAGUGGAGAGGUAGAGCAGCGUAGUAGUGGAGCGGUAGAGCAGCGUAGUAGUGGAGAGGUAGAGCAGCGUAGUAGUGGAGCGGUAGAGCAGCGUAGUAGUGGAGCGGUAGAGCAGCGUAGUAGUGGAGAGGUAGAGCAGCGUAGUAGUGGAGAGGUAGAGCAGCGUAGUAGUGGAGAGGUAGAGCAGCGUAGUAGUGGAGCGGUAGAGCAGCGUAGUAGUGGAGCGGUAGAGCAGCGUAGUAGUGGAGAGGUAGAGCAGCGUAGUAGUGGAGAGGUAGAGCAGCGUAGUAGUGGAGAGGUAGAGCAGCGUAGUAGUGGAGAGGUAGAGCAGUGUAGAGGUAGAUCAGCAUUCAGAGUGGGUCGGUAAUAACCCUGUGGUUAGUGGUGAUGAGAGGCCUGUCCUACUGUAACAGGAUCCCCCACCCCUCACUGUAUCGGACUGUACCCCAUUGUCUUCUAAUGAGACACCCUGGCACCCACUUACACACACAUUCCACAAACACACACACACACAGAGCGAGAGAGAGAGAGAGAGAGAGAGAGAGCCCUCUCUCGGUGAGGUCCCUCAAAACACACACAUAGUAUGUAAGAAUACACACAUAAACAUUCAGUACGCAUAUAUACACAUACAGAAUGCAUGCGCACACACAGACACACACACACAAACAUGCUCCCCCAUCCCUCUACUGCCAAUGUCCCCUCUCUCCAUCACAACACUCAGCUCGAACCUCCCUAAAUGCACCCUUCUCUUUCUUUCCACACAGAUUGGUUUCAGUCCCCACACCCCAACGGACCCUCUCCUCCCAUUGAGGAUCAAGAGAUGUAAACGAUAGCAACAACUUCACCUACUUUACACGGACUGUACAGUACCGUAGUUCACUAAACCCCAAAAAACCACUGCUACAACAGCACCUUGGGAAGGAGAACACGACACUGCACCUGAACACUACACUGUACCUGUAACUACACUAUGCCUGCCUACUAUACUACUCCCAUGUGAAGACAUGGCUUUCAGGACACUUGACAUAAAAUGGGGCCUAAAGAACAAGAAUACACAACUCCAAUGACUCUUCGGGUGUCAGGCAAGGUUACUCAUCAUACAUGCGCAAAGAAAACAUAAUGGCAGCCAUUUCCUGCAGUCAAUGACCAAAAGCGCACUCUUUGGCUUUGUGUGUGGAAUGUUAUUCAUAUUUUUCAUACUUUAAUCCAGAUUUUUAUUUUUUUUUGAAACGUCUAAAAUCUUGUGUUUCUAUGUCAAACUGUUUUGUUAUAUUUCAGUCUUCUUGCGAUGUGUAUAGAAAGUGUAAUAUUGGGAUGCAAACUCAAAAUUGAAUACAUUUUAACUCUAUAUCUGA
Oncorhynchus keta (chum salmon) is the source of this 2180-nucleotide long non-coding RNA. RefSeq lists it as uncharacterized. NCBI's taxonomy places the organism in Eukaryota, Metazoa, Chordata, Actinopteri, Salmoniformes, Salmonidae. The transcript is spliced from 4 exons. The record is from RefSeq and is a predicted model, not a curated record.